Symphalangus syndactylus (siamang) is the source of this 2517-nucleotide long non-coding RNA. RefSeq lists it as uncharacterized. The record is from RefSeq and is a predicted model, not a curated record. Lineage: Eukaryota; Metazoa; Chordata; Mammalia; Primates; Hylobatidae.
GUUUUCCAGGGUUGGAAUUAUGCCCCUGGCCAGUGGUGACUCAUAGUUCUCCCUGAGACCAACCUCUGCCCAGACUGUGAAAGGACUUGAAUAUCUUCUGUUGCUGAGUUCCUUCUGGAGAGAAACUACAUGUUACCUUCUAUUGAGCUGCCUCGCCAUAGAUCUCCUGCCUUGAUUGCCAGAAUCACCCAUGAAGCUGGAUUAUGAGCUCCCAUGAAACCAGACUCAUCACUCAAACUGAGCCUUGGUUUGUGACCCCAGACAGCAUUUCCCAGCAUGAUCACCCAACCUACCCAGCAGACUGCUCCAAAUGGCUUAGAACUGUUUUCAAAACUCACAUCCUCCCUGUGAGGAUACAUGCUGUCAGAAUUAUCUUUCUGAAACACAUCUCAGAUCAUGUGCUUCAGUAGCUCUCAGUUGCAUAGAUAAUUAAGCCUCAACUUCUCAGCCUGAUUUUCAAAACUUUAUUAUACAACCCCCAGUCAGCCUUCCAGUUCUGUCAUCAACCAGCAGUCUCCUAUGAACACACGAUGCCCUCUCUAGUUACCAAUGAAAGGUACCAUUUACUGAGCUCUUAUUAUGUGCCCCACACUGCACUAAAAGCUUUAAACAAUAUCUCAUUUUAUCCUUAUAGGAUUUUGUAGGAUGAAUAUUAUCUCUAUAGUACAAAUAAUAAAACAAUGAUUGCUAGCUCUUUUUAUAGUGCUUACAAUGUGCUAAGGUAUUGUUCUAUAGAAAUAAGUGUGCCACAAAUGUAAUUUUACGUUUUUCAUAGUCACAUUAAAAAGUAAAAAGAAACAAGUGAAGCUGAUUUUGUCAAGGAGCAUGUAAUUAACAUAAAAAAUAAUUAAUGGGAUAUUCCACAUUUUCUUUUUUUUUUUUUGGUACUAAAUCAUUAAAAUCAGUGUGUAUUUUACACCUAUAACAUAUCUCAAUUUGGAUGCUAAACUUUCACUGGAAAUAUUUGAAUUCCAAUGAAAUCAACACAAUAAAUACUGUGUUUAUAUUUUAAAAAAUGCACGGUAAGAAAAAAGUAGAUUGCACACCCAAGUUGUUACAAACAUAUCUGGAAGAAUCAAGUACCAAAAAGUCAUUUCCUUUUCUAUUCUCAUCCAAAUUGUUAAAAUUCCUUGGAUUUAACAUUUUAAAUUUCACUUUCAAUCAAUUAAAACAGUUAAAAUUUUAGUUUCUGAUGUUGCACUAGCCACAUUUCAAGCCUCAGUAGCCACAUGUGGCUGUGGCUGCCAUGCUGGACAGCACAGCUCUAAGCACUUUACUACUAUGAGGUAGGUGCUGUUAUUAUCUUCACUUCAUUCUCAGCAAACUAACAAAAGAACAGAAAACCAAACACUGCAUGUUCUUACCGCAUUGUUCAAGUGGGAGUUGAACAAUGAGAACACAUUCACAAGGAGGGGAACAUCACACACCGGGGCUUGUCGGUGGGGGUGGGGGGCUAGGCGAGGGACAGCAUUAGGAGAAAUACCUAAUGUACACCUAUGUAACAAACCUGCACGUUCUGCACAUGUAUCCCAGAACUUAAAGUAUAAUUUAAAAAAAAAAGAAAAGAAAAGAAAAGAAAAGAAAUAGAGGCACAGAAAGUUGUAACUUGCAUUAGUGCACUCAGCUGACAAACUGCACGGUUUCAUUUGUCAGAAUGCUUUCAUUUGCUCAGAAUGGUUAAUUUGUCCAAGGUGACUUUGCUAAUAAGGGUUAGAGCCAGGAGUUGAACUCAGGAUUAAGUUCGUAGCCUAAGUUUUUGCCAUGAUGCUCAUUGCUCUACCCAUUUAAUUGCUCGCUAUUAUCCUAAAAUCCUUAAUUGAUGCUGGUCUUUUUUGUCAGACUGUUACCUCUGUCUGUAUUGCCUUGCAAGGUCCAUUUUAAGUAUCAUUCAUUCACCCAUUUAUUCACUCAGUAAGUUAAUUGCUUUUUCCAGCAAAUACUGUUAGCCGUUUUUCAAAUAUCUGCCACGUAGACAAUAGCUAUGAACAAAAUAAGGCAGACACGGCCUCUGCCCACACAGAACUUUUAGUUUAACAGCACUUAACUUUUAAAUCUCCAGACCCUAUAACACUCUAAAAAUUGUUGAGGACCCCCAAGAGCUUUUGGCUAUGUAGCUUAUAGCUAUUAAUAUUUAUUGUAAUAGAAAUUAAAACUAGGACAUUUUAAAAACAUUUAUUUAUACAUUCAUUUAAAGAUAACAUAAUAUGGCUGGGUGUGGUGGUUCACACCCGUAAUCCCAGCACUUUGGGAGGCUGAGGCAGGUGGAUACUUGAGGCCAGGAGUUUGAAAACAGCCUGACCAACAUGGUGAAACCCCAUCUUUACUAAAAAACACAAAAAUUAGCCAGGCAUGGUAGCAUGCACCUGUAAUCCCAGCUACUCGGGAGGCUGAGGCAGGAGAACCACUUGAAUUCGGUAGGCAGAGGUUGCAGUGAGCUGAGACUGCGCCACUGCACUCCAGCCUGGGUGACAGAGCGAGACUCUGUCUCAAAAAAAAAAAAAAGGAACAUAACAUAAA